Molecule: long non-coding RNA, 304 nt
Organism: Hypanus sabinus (Atlantic stingray)
Lineage: Eukaryota; Metazoa; Chordata; Chondrichthyes; Myliobatiformes; Dasyatidae
Exons: 3
Source: RefSeq, a predicted model, not a curated record
UCAUUCACAGUCCAGGAUGGAAAAAGUAAGUGAACCCUUGUAUUUAAUAACAGGUUGCAUCUCCUUUAACAGCAAUAACUUCCACCAAGCGUUUCCGGUAGCUGCUGAUCAGACUUGCAAAAUGGGCAGGGCACCUCUACAACCAACACCUCCAAUCUCAUCUCGUUUAAUGAAAUACCUGACUUCAAAUAGCUUUUGUAGAAAGCAUUACCUCAGAGGUCACAUACCUUUUUUGAACUAAGACUGCGAUUGUAAAAUGGCAUAUUCAGUAUUGACGUUACAGACUGGAAAAACUUAAAACGAC